AAAUCGGAGAGGUCUUGGAACAACGUAAAUCCGACCGUGACUCUGCAAGAAAGUAAAUAACAGAAGAUGUAUCGUGGUUCACCCCAAUGUUUGGGCUACGUCCACACUGAUUAUUGUAUUUCUCUGAGAAGUGAGGGGAGUGAGGGAGAGAGCUUCUGAGGGUGAGAGAACUCUUCCCAUGGCCUAAGAAAUGGCAUCUGAGGGUGAGAGUGAGGCCUCACCUAAUUGUGAGGGUGAAGGGUCCUUUUAUAGAAUAAGGACUCCUCACUUAUUACAUAUUUGCCCCUUUCUUUAUCACAUAAUUACAUUUAAGUCCCCAAGUAUUUGUACGAAAUCUAAAUACGAGGCCCUAAAUAUGGUAUAAACAAAGUACAUAGAAUAUCACUACGUACUUUAUCAAAGAUAUCAUCUAAACCUGCCAAAAAAGCAUGCACACGAUCAAUUUGAAUUGCUUCUCGAAGGGCCUUGAGAUCUGUACCACACUCUAUCUUGAUUGGUCUCCUUUGACCUAACUCCUACCAAACGAACUUGAGGUCAGCGUAAUACACACCAACCGACCAUCCCUCUUGACGGAGUAUGAAAGAUUUAACCUUUAAUUCAUAAAUUUGAAAAAUAUCUGAACCAUCAUAGUAGGUCUGAACCACCUCUUCCCAAACUUCUUUACCAGUACGCAAGUGAAUAAAAAAUCCCAUGAUAGCGAGUUCCAUGGAAUUGAUCAACCACCCUUUUACUAUUGCAUUCAUUGUCUCCCACGUCUCAUACUUAGCAGGCUCCUUGGUAAUCCCUGUCACAAAGCCUUUCGUACCGCAUCCAGCGAUGUGCAUCUCUAAAACUUUCGACCAAAAAGGAUAAUUCGAUCCAUUUAGCUUCAUGGUAUUUGGUACAGCAAACGCAUCAUUCUGAAUAACAA
RNAcentral lists this long non-coding RNA (910 nucleotides) under Malus domestica (apple). Its description in RNAcentral is "long non-coding RNA (MDOM_LNC012255)". Lineage: Eukaryota; Viridiplantae; Streptophyta; Magnoliopsida; Rosales; Rosaceae. The record is from RNAcentral.